This 433-nucleotide ribosomal RNA is filed under the name uncultured bacterium. RNAcentral's name for it is "partial 16S ribosomal RNA". It matches the Rfam family "Bacterial small subunit ribosomal RNA", at positions 29 to 507 of the family's 1533-position model. The record is from RNAcentral.
AACGAACGCUGGCGGCAUGCCUAACACAUGCAAGUCGAACGAGACCUUCGGGUCUAGUGGCGCACGGGUGCGUAACGCGUGGUAACCUGCCCUUAGGUUCGGAAUAACUCCCCGAAAGGGGUGCUAAUACCGGCUAAUGUCUUCGGACCAAAGAUUUAUCGCCUUUGGAUGGGCCCGCGUUGGAUUAGCUAGUUGGUAGGGUAAAAGCCUACCAAGGCGACGCUCCAUAGCUGGUCUGAGAGGAUGAUCAGCCACACUGGGACUGGGACACGGCCCAGACUCCUACGGGAGGCAGCAGUGGGGAAUAUUGGACAAUGGGCGAUAGCCUGAUCCAGCAGUGCCGGGUGAGUGAUGAAGGCCUUAGGGUGGUAAAGCUCUUUUACCCGGGAUGAUAAUGACAGUACCGGGAGAAUAAGCUCCGGCUAACUCCGUG